UUUAGUCGAGCGGCUGAUGGUGCGGUAAACUGAGUUCCUUUCGCGGUCAAUUGGCAUUGUUUUCGUGUAUUGUCGCUAGCUCAAUGCUUGUUUUAACAAACAAAAAGUGUUGGCCAGUUUGAAUUGCAUGCAAACGGAUUGAGCUAUUUAUUUAUUUGUGAAAAUCGGUAAUCUUAAGUGUUUGGCCAGCGUUGGCAUCUACAUAUCUGCAUAUGCGUAUGCGUGUGUGCGUGUGCUUUUAGGUGUGAGAUGGCGAAAAUCAAUAACAAAGCAAACUGCGAAUAGGGUCAAAAUAAAACACGCAAAAAGCGUUUUAAUUCCGAGUAUUUCUUAAAAAAAAAAAAC
Molecule: small RNA, 345 nt
Filed under: Drosophila virilis
Lineage: Eukaryota; Metazoa; Arthropoda; Insecta; Diptera; Drosophilidae
Description: GJ25862
Source: RNAcentral